Molecule: long non-coding RNA, 1058 nt
Organism: Nymphaea colorata (pocket water lily)
Lineage: Eukaryota; Viridiplantae; Streptophyta; Magnoliopsida; Nymphaeales; Nymphaeaceae
Exons: 3
Source: RefSeq, a predicted model, not a curated record
GUUUAGACCUUCAAUCGGGGUACACCGGGUACAUCCCGUCGACCUUGAGCUACCGGAUUCGAAGCUCGAGGCAUUUUGAAGAUUCUUGUGAACGCGCCACAGGUUUUGGUGUACCCGGGGCAGCAGGCUGAGCAGAUGGCUACACUCACGUCCUACUGGGGAGGUUUUGGGUUUUGUUUUGUUCUUGUAGUGCCGGCGCGUCGGGUUUUUGGUUUUACUGAUGCCUUGUUUUUUAUUAGGCAUCGAUGUUGUGAUUUUGGGGCAUUUUUGUCAAAUGUACAAUUGAAUUGAAAUGCUAUAUAAUGGAAAGCUUGCCCCAUUGUUUUGAAUUGUUUGGCUCAUUCCUUUUGACUAUACUAUUAUGUAGUCACACCUCGAUGUUGGAUGUUAGAAAAAAAAAAAUGUUUGAGUGUCAAAAAGGUCGGAGUGUGACAGUUUUGGUAUCAGAGCCAUGGCAAACCCCACUAUGGAUGUGAGUUAAAGCCUAUUUGUGAAGCCGUGUUGCCCAGGUACGCAUUCAUUUGAUUAGAUUGUUAUUGUGGUUAUGCUUUUUCAUGUAUAAGUCAAAAUGUGAUCUAUGUGUUGAACUUCGUGCUAAUGCACGUUGUGAUUUGAUUUGUGAGAUUAGUCAUAGACUGGAUUUGAGAUUAAGGUUCUUGUUUGUACAGAUGGAAUAUCAUCGUAAGGGUAAGAAGCGAGCUGGGCCGUCCACAGAGGCACAGAGAGAGAGCCUAGUCCGGCCCAUUCUGAUGCGCAUACCCCACGCGACGACAGUACGUCAGGGCACCAGUAUGCCCAAUUGGGUGGGGGUGCUCAAACCCCACUGAGGCAGACUCCACCUGUGGAUCAACAGUCUAUUUUGCUGACCACGUUGCAAACACUGACCUCCCUUGUGCAGUCCAUGGUCAGUAACCAGAGGAGUAAUGCAUCUCCUUCAGGAGACACCACUGCGCCACUUAAGGAGAAGGCAUCAGCGGUGUCGUUUCAACAGUUCAUGGCGAUGCAGCCGCCUAUCUUUUCAGGAGGGUGCAGUCACGAUAAGGCAAAGCAGUGGAUUG